GUUGGUACUUGUACCGACUGGAUGACAGCGAACGGGUGAGUAACGCGUGGGGAAUCUGCCUUUGAGCGGGGGACAACAUUUGGAAACGAAUGCUAAUACCGCAUAAAAACUUUAAACACAAGUUUUAAGUUUGAAAGAUGCAAUUGCAUCACUCAAAGAUGAUCCCGCGUUGUAUUAGCUAGUUGGUGAGGUAAAGGCUCACCAAGGCGAUGAUACAUAGCCGACCUGAGAGGGUGAUCGGCCACAUUGGGACUGAGACACGGCCCAAACUCCUACGGGAGGCAGCAGUAGGGAAUCUUCGGCAAUGGACGAAAGUCUGACCGAGCAACGCCGCGUGAGUGAAGAAGGUUUUCGGAUCGUAAAACUCUGUUGGUAGAGAAGAACGUUGGUGAGAGUGGAAAGCUCAUCAAGUGACGGUAACUACCCAGAAAGGGACGGCUAACUACGUGCCAGCAGCCGCGGUAAUACGUAGGUCCCGAGCGUUGUCCGGAUUUAUUGGGCGUAAAGCGAGCGCAGGUGGUUUAUUAAGUCUGGUGUAAAAGGCAGUGGCUCAACCAUUGUAUGCAUUGGAAACUGGUAGACUUGAGUGCAGGAGAGGAGAGUGGAAUUCCAUG
This 614-nucleotide ribosomal RNA is filed under the name Lactococcus lactis. Its description in RNAcentral is "bacterial SSU rRNA". It matches the Rfam family "Bacterial small subunit ribosomal RNA", at positions 72 to 673 of the family's 1533-position model. Lineage: Bacteria; Bacillati; Bacillota; Bacilli; Lactobacillales; Streptococcaceae. The record is from RNAcentral.